AGAGUUUGAUCCUGGCUCAGGACGAACGCUGGCGGCGUGCCUAAUACAUGCAAGUAGAACGCACAGUUUAUACCGUAGCUUGCUACACCAUAAACUGUGAGUUGCGAACGGGUGAGUAACGCGUAGGUAACCUGCCUGGUAGCGGGGGAUAACUAUUGGAAACGAUAGCUAAUACCGCAUAAUAUUAAUUAUUGCAUGAUAAUUGAUUGAAAGAUGCAACUGCAUCACUACCAGAUGGACCUGCGUUGUAUUAGCUAGUAGGUGAGGUAACGGCUCACCUAGGCGACGAUACAUAGCCGACCUGAGAGGGUGAUCGGCCACACUGGGACUGAGACACGGCCCAGACUCCUACGGGAGGCAGCAGUAGGGAAUCUUCGGCAAUGGACGAAAGUCUGACCGAGCAACGCCGCGUGAGUGUAGAAGGUUUUCGGAUCGUAAAGCUCUGUUGUAAGAGAAGAACGGGUGUGAGAGUGGAAAGUUCACACUGUGACGGUAUCUUACCAGAAAGGGACGGCUAACUACGUGCCAGCAGCCGCGGUAAUACGUAGGUCCCGAGCGUUGUCCGGAUUUAUUGGGCGUAAAGCGAGCGCAGGCGGUUAGAUAAGUCUGAAGUUAAAGGCUGUGGCUUAACCAUAGUACGCUUUGGAAACUGUUUAACUUGAGUGCAGAAGGGGAGAGUGGAAUUCCAUGUGUAGCGGUGAAAUGCGUAGAUAUAUGGAGGAACACCGGUGGCGAAAGCGGCUCUCUGGUCUGUAACUGACGCUGACGCUCGAAAGCGAGGGGAGCGAACAGGAUUAGAUACCCUGGUAGUCCACGCCGUAAACGAUGAGUGCUAGUGUUAGCCCUUUCCGGGGCUUAGUGCCGCAGCUAACGCA
This 875-nucleotide ribosomal RNA is filed under the name uncultured bacterium. RNAcentral describes it as "bacterial SSU rRNA". It matches the Rfam family "Bacterial small subunit ribosomal RNA", at positions 8 to 859 of the family's 1533-position model. The record is from RNAcentral.